Molecule: long non-coding RNA, 1277 nt
Filed under: Mus musculus (house mouse)
Lineage: Eukaryota; Metazoa; Chordata; Mammalia; Rodentia; Muridae
Description: long non-coding RNA chr2:113478474-113479751
Source: RNAcentral
CUCUGUGUGUUUUCUUUUUUAAACAGAGUAAAAAAUAGAGCCCUGUGCUCUCAGAUAGAAAGUUUCUUUUAUAACCUCUCUUAACACAUCUGUGUUUGUUCUCUGGGGGGCAUGAACUUUCAGCUCCUUGAGGACAAACGCCUGACCUAUUCUUUAUCUGGCACUCACUCAUGCGCCUCUUCUCUUUUUAACCCUGCCCUCACUGCUGAACUUGGCACUUUUGGUCGUCCAGGCUGUGUCGAAGGGAAUGAGUUCCCCUUUGCCCCAGUCCUGGCCGUAUCUAACUGCUCUCUUUCCUGUCCAAGCCUCGUCCACACCUUUGGUUGUUUGGAGGGUGGCUCCCAACAGGGAUUCAGUUGAUGCACUCUUGAAUUCUCUUGACUCGUUUCAUGCUCCUUUGUAACUGGCUUCUCUUGUGAUCUUCCAGAAUACCAGGCUGCUAUCCUACAUCUGAAGAGGGAGCACAAAGAAGAAAUCGAAACCCUGCAGGUAUAUCUCUUUGUUUCUACUGAACUGGCCUUCUGAUGGUGAUCUUUCCCUGGUGCCGAGUAUUUAACUAGAUAAUAUCUGCAGCUCCCAGCUGCCAAAGGGCACCAACAUCACUCUGGAAUGAAAGCCUUGGAUGUGGCACUUAAUAAACUCUAGUUUCUGACUUUAAACAGAAAAAUCACCAUAAAUGCCUUUGGAUUUGGCUAGAAGUAUAAUUCUGUGUUUCAAAUCAGGAAAGAAGACAGAGUAUUGAGGCUUCUACUGCUCCUGAGAAGUAUUUUAAAACUUGAUGGUGCUAUCCACCCUGUAAAUCAUUUCUGUUCCAUGCACUCCUCUGCGUGCCUCUUAGCCCCUCCCUGCUGUAAGAGAUCAUUCAGAUGAAGGGAUGAGUCAUUGUGUCCCCAGGGCGUGCUGACAGGUGCCAGCGGCCCCGCCUCUGUUUGCCGUCUAAUUAUCAGUGUCUAGGGUUAAUGUUUGCAUACAAGACAGAUAGCAGGAAGUUCAGAAUAUUAAUUUCAAGCUGCUGGAUGGUGAAUCAGACCUUGAGUCUAGUUUAUUAAUGGGCAGUAGCCCUGUGUAUUACCCCAGAAGGAGUAGCGGCAAAUUUGAACCUGCUCCCUCACGCUAACUCACUAUUUGCCACUUUCAUCAGCUUGUGGCUAAAAUAUCCCUCCUCUUAAGUUUUACUGACAAAUAGAAAUUAUAAUUCAGAGUACACGGCAUGUUUGGAAAUGGGAUGUAUUCUGGAGUGACAGUCGAAUAGGGUUUAUUUAUAAAUGUGCUAUUUU